This 1281-nucleotide ribosomal RNA is filed under the name Triticum aestivum (bread wheat). RNAcentral's name for it is "partial small subunit ribosomal RNA". The record is from RNAcentral. Lineage: Eukaryota; Viridiplantae; Streptophyta; Magnoliopsida; Poales; Poaceae.
AUGGAGUACUUGAUUCUCAUGAUGCUUGCACUAAGCUAUACGUCUCAGUACUGCACCAGCUCUAGCUUAUGCCCCUCAACCUACGAUCUUGGUCAGACUGGCGCUGGUGCCUUUCAAUUCCCGGUGUUCCACGAGAAGCACCCAUGCAUACAAGCAUCAGUACAUAUAGCAAAUGUACAGAAAACAUGGUAUUCCUUUGAGGAUGACAGAAUCCAUAAAGAUCGGUUCCUCAUGGCCAUUGGUCUGGGCACUCCGGCCUUUGUGAAUCUCGUCACCAUCGACACCGGCUCAACACUUUCCUGGGUUCAGUGCCGACCUUGUCCGAUAAGAUGCCAUAAUCAAGAUGAAGAGGCCGGACGGAUAUUUGACCCCCUUCAGUCCUCAACUUACCAAAGCGUUGGCUGCUCAACUGAAGAUUGUGGUUAUGUGCAUGAAACACUUGGUAUUCCCUUUGGCUGCAACGAGGAGCAAGAUAGCUGCCUUUACAGCUUGAGAUAUGCAUCAGAAGAGUACACGGCCGGAAGCUUGGUCAAGGACAAGCUCACUUUAGGAAACAACUUCAGCAUUGAUGAUUUCAUGUUUGGCUGCAGUGGAGAUGACAGGUACAAUGCAGCUGAUGCAGGCAUUAUUGGAUUUGGGGGUGCGACUUACUCCUUCUUUCGUCAGGUAGUUCGCCAUACCAACUACACCGCGUUCUCUCACUGCUUUCCUGGUAAUCAUAGAAACGGAGGGUUUCUAUCCAUCGGGCCGUAUGAUCGGUACAGUUUACAGUUCAUUCCGUUGGUCGAGUACGGCUCGCACGGAGAUAACCCGGUGUAUGCUAUUCAGCAGCUGGACAUGAUGGUCGACGGGAUACGGCUUGAAGUCGACCCGUCAAUCUACGCAACUCGAAUGACGAUACUGGAUUCUGGCACGAUCGACACGUUCAUUCUGUCCCCAGUGUUUCGUGCGUUUGACAAGACCAUCACAGCGGCAAUGCUAGCUAAGGGAUAUGCCCGGGAAACAGCUGGAAGGAAUAAAAUUUGUUUCACAUCCACUAGUGAUUCAGUGAACUGGCGAGACAUGCCAACGGUGGAGAUGAAAUUUGUAAGGUCUAUCUUGAAGCUCCCGUCAGAGAAUGUGUUCUAUCGAGUGUCAGCAGAUAAAAUUUGCUCCACAUUUCAGCCAGAUGUUGCUGGACUGACAGGGGUUCCGAUUCUGGGGAACAGGGCAACAAGAUCAUUCAGGGUCGUGUAUGAUAUCCAAGACAGCAAGUUUGGGUUUCAAGCUGGUGCUUGUUGA